This 76-nucleotide transfer RNA is filed under the name Anaerolineae bacterium. Its description in RNAcentral is "tRNA-Gly". It matches the Rfam family "tRNA". Rfam says of the family: Transfer RNA (tRNA) molecules are approximately 80 nucleotides in length. Their secondary structure includes four short double-helical elements and three loops (D, anti-codon, and T loops). Lineage: Bacteria; Bacillati; Chloroflexota; Anaerolineae. The record is from RNAcentral.
GCGGGCGUAGCUCAGGUGGCAGAGCGCCUGCCUUCCAAGCAGGGUGUCGCGAGUUCGAAUCUCGUCGCCCGCUCCU